GGAGUAACGCGUGGAGUUAUUCUGCCCUCGAGGUGGGGGAGUAACCCGGGGAAACUCGGGCUAAUACCGCAUAUGACCGUGAGGUCAAAGGGGGGUCGCAAGAUCUCUCGCCAUAGGAGGAGUCCGCGUCCGAUUAGCUAGUUGGUAGGGUAAUGGCCUACCAAGGCGACGAUCGGUAGCCGGCCUGAGAGGGUGAUCGGCCACACUGGAACUGAGACACGGUCCAG
This 227-nucleotide ribosomal RNA is filed under the name uncultured bacterium. Its description in RNAcentral is "partial 16S ribosomal RNA". It matches the Rfam family "Bacterial small subunit ribosomal RNA", at positions 107 to 334 of the family's 1533-position model. The record is from RNAcentral.